GACGAACGCUUGCGACGUGCCUAAGAAAUGCAAGUCGAACGGGGUAGCAAUACCCAGUGGCGAACGGUCGCGUAACACGUGGGCAACCUGCCCUGAAGUGGGGGACAACAUCCCGAAAGGGGUGCUAAUACCGCAUGUGUAUCGGGAUGGCAUCAUCCAGGAUACAAAGGAUUUAUUCGCUUCAGGAUGGGCCCGCGGCCUAUCAGCUAGUUGGUGGGGUAACGGCCUACCAAGGCAACGACGGGUAGCUGGUCUGAGAGGACGAUCAGCCGGAUUG
RNAcentral lists this ribosomal RNA (277 nucleotides) under uncultured bacterium. RNAcentral describes it as "partial 16S ribosomal RNA". It matches the Rfam family "Bacterial small subunit ribosomal RNA", at positions 28 to 315 of the family's 1533-position model. The record is from RNAcentral.